GCCGAAAUAGCUCAGUUGGGAGAGCGUUAGACUGAAGAUCUAAAGGUCCCUGGUUCGACUCGGGUUUCAGCG
This 72-nucleotide transfer RNA is filed under the name Rhipicephalus microplus (southern cattle tick). RNAcentral's name for it is "tRNA-Phe". It matches the Rfam family "tRNA". From Rfam's summary of the family: Transfer RNA (tRNA) molecules are approximately 80 nucleotides in length. The record is from Rfam by way of RNAcentral. Lineage: Eukaryota; Metazoa; Arthropoda; Arachnida; Ixodida; Ixodidae.